This 497-nucleotide ribosomal RNA is filed under the name uncultured bacterium. RNAcentral's name for it is "partial 16S ribosomal RNA". It matches the Rfam family "Bacterial small subunit ribosomal RNA", at positions 28 to 507 of the family's 1533-position model. The record is from RNAcentral.
GAUGAACGCUGGCGGCGUGCCUAAUACAUGCAAGUCGAGCGAACAGACGAGGAGCUUGCUCCUCUGACGUUAGCGGCGGACGGGUGUGUAACACGUGGAUAACCUACCUAUAAGACUGGGAUAACUUCGGGAAACCGGAGCUAAUACCGGAUAAUAUAUUGAACCGCAUGGUUCAAUAGUGAAAGACGGUUUUGCUGUCACUUAUAGAUGGAUCCGCGCCGCAUUAGCUAGUUGGUAAGGUAACGGCUUACCAAGGCAACGAUGCGUAGCCGACCUGAGAGGGUGAUCGGCCACACUGGAACUGAGACACGGUCCAGACUCCUACGGGAGGCAGCAGUAGGGAAUCUUCCGCAAUGGGCGAAAGCCUGACGGAGCAACGCCGCGUGAGUGAUGAAGGUCUUCGGAUCGUAAAACUCUGUUAUUAGGGAAGAACAAGUGUGUAAGUAACUAUGCACGUCUUGACGGUACCUAAUCAGAAAGCCACGGCUAACUACGUG